UUUUACUCCAACGUGUUUACG
This 21-nucleotide unclassified non-coding RNA is filed under the name Dictyostelium discoideum. The record is from RNAcentral. Lineage: Eukaryota; Evosea; Eumycetozoa; Dictyosteliales; Dictyosteliaceae.